This 60-nucleotide microRNA precursor is filed under the name Monopterus albus (swamp eel). Its description in RNAcentral is "Mal-Mir-30-P1a_pre stem-loop". It matches the Rfam family "mir-30 microRNA precursor family", at positions 1 to 60 of the family's 77-position model. Rfam says of the family: This family consists of the mammalian microRNA (miRNA) precursor mir-30a. Animal miRNAs are transcribed as ~70nt precursors and subsequently processed by the Dicer enzyme to give a ~22nt product. Lineage: Eukaryota; Metazoa; Chordata; Actinopteri; Synbranchiformes; Synbranchidae. The record is from RNAcentral.
UGUAAACAUCCCCGACUGGAAGCUGUCUAUCUGCAGAGCUUUCAGUCUGAUGUUUGCUUC